AGAUGAGCUCGCGUCUGAUUAGCUAGUUGGUGUGGUAAGAGCGCACCAAGGCGAAAAUAAAAAGCUGGUCUGAGAGGAUGAUCAGCCACACUGGAACUGAGACACGGUCCAGACUCCUACGGGAGGCAGCAGUGGGGAAUCUUGCGCAAUGGGCGAAAGCCUGACGCAGCGACGCCGCGUGAGUGAUGAAGGCCUUCGGGUUGUAAAGCUCUGUGGAGAGGGACGAAUAAGGGCCGUCGAACAGACGGCCCGAUGACGGUACCUCUUUAGCAAGCACCGGCUAACUCUGUGCCAGCAGCCGCGGUAA
This 307-nucleotide ribosomal RNA is filed under the name uncultured Chondromyces sp. Its description in RNAcentral is "bacterial SSU rRNA". It matches the Rfam family "Bacterial small subunit ribosomal RNA", at positions 223 to 523 of the family's 1533-position model. The record is from RNAcentral. Lineage: Bacteria; Pseudomonadati; Myxococcota; Polyangiales; Polyangiaceae.